CCUACGGGAGGCAGCAGUGAGGAAUAUUGGUCAAUGGCCGGAAGGCUGAACCAGCCAAGCCGCGUGAAGGACGAAGGUGCCAAGCAUUGUAAACUUCUUUUGUCAAGGGACAAAAUCAGGCUCGAGAGCCUGACCGAGGGUACUUGAAGAAAAAGCAUCGGCUAACUCCGUGCCAGCAGCCGCGGUAAUACGGAGGAUGCGAGCGUUAUCCGGUUUUAUUGGGUUUAAAGGGUGCGUAGGCGGAAAGUUAAGUCAGCGGUAAAAGCCCGGGGCUCAACCCCGGCGAGCCGUUGAAACUGGGUAUCUUGAGAUGUCGAGAGGUAUGCGGAAUGCGCAGUGUAGCGGUGAAAUGCGUAGAUAUUAGGAGGAACACCAGUGGCGAAGGCAGCUUACUGGACUGUAACUGACGUUGAGGCUCGAAAGCGUGGGGAGCAAACAGGAUUAGAUACCCCAGUAGUC
RNAcentral lists this ribosomal RNA (459 nucleotides) under uncultured bacterium. RNAcentral's name for it is "partial 16S ribosomal RNA". It matches the Rfam family "Bacterial small subunit ribosomal RNA", at positions 338 to 795 of the family's 1533-position model. The record is from RNAcentral.